This 343-nucleotide ribosomal RNA is filed under the name Sugiyamaella smithiae. RNAcentral describes it as "eukaryotic LSU rRNA". It matches the Rfam family "Eukaryotic large subunit ribosomal RNA", at positions 1 to 338 of the family's 3401-position model. The record is from RNAcentral. Lineage: Eukaryota; Fungi; Ascomycota; Dipodascomycetes; Dipodascales; Trichomonascaceae.
UUUGACCUCAAAUCAGGUGAGACUACCCGCUGAACUUAAGCAUAUCAAUAAGCGGAGGAAAAGAAACCAACAGGGAUUGCCUUAGUAACGGCGAGUGAAGUGGCAAAAGCUCAAAUUUGAAAUCUGGCGCCUUUGGUGUCCGAGUUGUAAUUUGAAGAAGGUAACUUUGAGAUUGGCCCUUGCAUAAGUUCCUUGGAACAGGACGUCAUAGAGGGUGAGAAUCCCGUUUAUGGUGAGGUGCCCAAUUUCUUGUAAGUGCUUUCGAAGAGUCGAGUUGUUUGGGAAUGCAGCUCUAAGUGGGUGGUAAAUUCCAUCUAAGGCUAAAUAUUGGCGAGAGACCGAU